CAGGUAGUGGAUGCUCGUGACAGCGAUGAAACUACCUCACUUACUUCCACCAUGAGCAUGGAGAGUCACUGACACACAAUGCAAGAGGUUUGCGCACGUGUAUACACUUACACUGGUACGCACACGUACUACGUUUCCACAAGGAAGCACACGAGGGAGAGCGAGCGAACGUGCGAGCGAGCAAACGAAUAGCACGCACACAAAAGAACAUCCUUGCGUAGCGACUGCGCACGCGUACUACACACACGUAUGAUACGUAUUCACUGGGCCUGUGAAUGCCGUCACCGCUGUGGUUGUGUCGAUUGUCGUUGUGUUGGUCGUCGUCGUGGUCUCGUAGACCGCCACUCCACCGUGUCACCUAUACCGGCCACAAGGAACUCGUGUAGAAGCCUCUAACCCGGAGCACACCUACGCACACCAGCGAGCGGAUACACCGCCGACGGACUGUAGCCUCAGGACCGUCAUCACGCUCCCCGCGGACCCGUGGGCUUGUUCACUCGCUCGCUCGCUCACUCGCGUUCCUACCGCCUGUUUGCGUUUCAAGGAAUUCGUCGAUGUGUUUGUACCUUGGUCUCUCGUUUUAAGGAACGGCACCUUAUGAUUUCGAAUUUACUUAAUGCAACGCGUCGAUAACGUUUCGUUUCGCUUUCUGCAAUUACUAUCGGCUCGUUCCACUUCUGUAUAGGUGUUUUCACGUACUCGUCGAAUAUCCACAAUGGCAAGCGAGCGUACCUUACGGUUAGGAUGUGUUCUAUUCUACAAAUCAUUACAAAAUUGAGGAGCUCGGUGAAAACAGACACAUGCCACAAUUUUGUGAUUUUAGAGGAAAGCACAUUGUAGUAGAUUGUGAUUUUCAAAGAAUAUGCGAUACGUAUCGUUAUUUAUUUUAAAGAAUAUAUAAAAUAAGUAGUAAAUGACGAUUGUUAUUAAAUGUUUGUUGCAACAUUCUUUUUAUUAUUACAUUUUUUAUCGAAUGUUGCUAACGUCACCGAGUUUUUACAUAACGCCAGUCAAUGACAAGUGAAUGAUUUGACAAUAAUAGAGUAUGCAAUGAAUUAAAGACUAUAUAAAAAAGCUAAUAAAGCGGGGAAAAAAUUGAUACACAUGUGGCAUGUGCUUGAUUUCCAUUGAGCUACGUAAUUCCAAGUUUUCAUUCUUAGGAACAUUAAACAUUCGUCAUUCGAUUUCUUUUCUCAUUCUAGAUCUUGAAUAUCGUACCUGAUAAGGUUGUAAAUAAAGAUCUGAUUUGAAAUUGAAUUUUUAUUGAUAUUUUACUUAUUUAUUAAAAGAAGAGGAAAAUAUCGAUGUGAUAUAUCAUCAGAAGAAAUCAUAUUUUUGGUAUCACAUGAAGGAGUUAGUUGAUCGAAAAAUUGUUAGUACGCAAUAUUUGAAAGUUCAGUUUAAGUCACUUUGUGAAAAUUUAUUUUAUUAAUCAUGUGUUCUACAAAUGAACAUCGGUUUUUACGCUGACUGCGCAUAAAGUUAUGCUUGCGUAGAAGAAUAAAUAUACAUAAUUCCAGUAAAGAAUUACUGCCAAAGGAAGCUGUAUGGAUUGUUUGAAGUUUUUCAAUAAAGUGAUAACCAUACCUGCUUUUGA
Molecule: long non-coding RNA, 1597 nt
Organism: Megalopta genalis
Lineage: Eukaryota; Metazoa; Arthropoda; Insecta; Hymenoptera; Halictidae
Source: RefSeq, a predicted model, not a curated record